RNAcentral lists this long non-coding RNA (203 nucleotides) under Capsicum annuum. RNAcentral's name for it is "long non-coding RNA (CANN_LNC018719)". The record is from RNAcentral. Lineage: Eukaryota; Viridiplantae; Streptophyta; Magnoliopsida; Solanales; Solanaceae.
UUAUUUUCUUAAUAUCUAUAAUUUCUAUGUUUUUAAGUAUAUAUAAUAUUAAAACUUUAAGAUAAUCUAAAUGAUCUAUUUUUAAAAUUGGUUUUAUUAUAAUAUUUUGUAGUUGUUUGUUUUAGCCUUAGUAGUUUUUGCAUAUUUUUAUUAAGAAAUUUUAUAUCUUUGUUUUCCAUGUAUUUAUCUAUAUUUAUUUUUAU